AUUAUGUUCAGAGAUGCUCAAUCUACUUUGUAUACAAGUAGCAUUAUAUAAAUAAUUCCAUGGAUAUUAUAAUAUGUAAUAUCUCAAACCACAGUUUACAUUUGCCUAAUCAACUCAUUAACUUAUCAGCUCCAAACACAUUUAACACUGAGCAGCAAUUGUCCAUGGCAGGCUAUUGCUUGCUAUUCUCAGCUGCCAGACGAAGGAAUGCUAAAAAGAGCCUUUGUAGAUUGGGAAACCUAUGCUUUAAAAGAAAUGACGCUGCCUACAAGGAACACAGAGCAGGCGUUUUUAGAACAAGAGUUCCAGAUUCCUGUGACUCAGUUGGACAAUGA
This 335-nucleotide long non-coding RNA is filed under the name Macaca mulatta (Rhesus monkey). Its description in RNAcentral is "lncRNA (ENSMMUG00000064043.1)". Lineage: Eukaryota; Metazoa; Chordata; Mammalia; Primates; Cercopithecidae. The record is from RNAcentral.